GAACAAUAGCCUGUGGUCUUGUGUGAGAUGCACUUUAAGACUGACCCUUUUUUUGCCUGUCUUCAUACUGUUCUAUUUUUGAUGUGGCUUUUGACAGACGUUCCUUUCCCGGAAGAGAGUGUAAACAUGGGGGACCACGUGACAUCUAACGGACAGGGAUUUAAAGGCACAGGAAAGAGGAUAGUGCAUGAACACUUUGGUUUAAAAUAACAGGAGUAGCUGGAAUUUAUUGGAUAUCAUAAUUGUCAGUGUUAACAAACACAAAAAUAUGGUGUUUGUUUGCACCCCUUUUCCAAGGUACUGUAACAUGUUUCCAUGUUUCUGCAGGAGGUUGGAAAUUGUGGCUAACUGCACAACUAUAUUGGCGAAAUGAGCAGUACGGUAUGGACGUCGUAAACUGUUUAUUACAAUGUGAUACAUUUGCAAUGGCUUUGCGAAAAUGUUUAACCAAGAGAAGAGUGAAUCCACAUUAGGACCAUGUCUCAGAUCUCAGCUGAGGAGGAGUCUGAACUUCAGUCUGUUGAGGCAACUGCUAAAAAGCAUCAAGACAGAAUCUCAGGUGCAUCUACCAAUUUAACGUGCAGAGGAAUUAUUGCUUAAUCUGGAGGAGAUGGACAAGAACUUCCAUAAUUGUGAAUUUGUUAAGUACCUGCGGCAGUAUGUGGAAAGCUCUCUGAGAGCCGUUAUCGAGGAGGUGACAGAGAGAUGUAACAGGAGAGGGACAUGCUGUUGGGUCCGGUCAGGACACCUUGGUUCAUGCUGUUACAAGGAGGACUAGAGAAUCUGGAGAAUACAAGCAAAUAAUUAGAAACACUGAAGAACACGAUGAUGGUAGUUGUUGAACCAUUGAUGAAUACGUUUGAAGAGGACCAACUGAGAAGGAAGGAGAUGCACAGGGAGAGCCAACAUCCUCAGUUAAACAGCCAUUACACAGACAACUGCUCCGACAGUCAUUCUUCCUUCAAUCAGGUAGUACCAUGUUAAAGAAUUUGCCUAAAAGUCACUCUUGCAAAGUGAGGAUCCACCCAACGAUCCAUUGAAUGGCUUUUUAUACACUACCGGACCAGUAUCAUUAUACCGUAUAAACAUAUUUUGUUGAUCUGGAUAAGUAAUACUAAUAUACUUGUAAAUCAUUACAUUAUAGGCUUAAGUUGUUUGUGUUGCCUCUGUGUUGAGUUUGCAAUCAGUGUAAUUUAUGCUGUCUAAUUAUAACUCACGAGCACAAAAAAGUGAAUGUACAGUAAUUACACAUUAACUACAGUUGCAAAUGUUUCCUUAGGGUUAUGUAUUUAUCAAACAAUAGCAGCUGCAAGUACUUGCUGAAAGGUUGGACCCUAGUAGACCUAAAGAGUUAAAAUGAUUUCAAUAUGAUUUAUAUUCUGUAUAAUUUGCUAGAUUAUUACUAGAUUGGUAAAAGUGUUAUUAAUUGCAUCCAAUGUUGUGUGGUCUCUGAGAGUGACAGUGAUGUGGUGUGCAAGUGCACUGGGAGGCCAUGCAGGGUCUGUGUGGUGCAUAGACCUCGGAUGUGCUGAGCUGUGGGAGUUGGAGCAGCCUGCAUAGGAACCUCUCAGCUGCACUGGCUGACCCAGACCCUGACCUCAGUAUGAAACUAAUGAAUGAUUUUCAGAAGGAAGUGACAAUCUUUUGGAUUCGCCACCCACAAAAGUACAUGGAGGACAUAAUAGAGUACUUUCUCCCUCCUGUCCUUACACCCUGAACACGGGUUAGAGGCACAAGGGUCAGAGAAAGCCUUGCACCUCAUUGCCUUACUGGAUAUCAAAGCCACCUGGUUUAAUAGGUGGAUGCAUGGUUACUACAGCAGGACCGUGGUCUACAGGGUUCUGGAGAUGAAGUACAAGUCUCUGACGAACGCCAUUACAGAUGAAGACAUUACACUUGCUAUUCAUAGUUAUAUUCUGAGAUUUUGUAGCAGCUCUUCAGCAGUGUAUCUAUUGAGUCCUGUGACCCAUUCAUAGACGAGACGGGUGAGGUCAUCCACUCUAUCGAGAACCAGCACAUCAAUCCAGUCAGUCUGACAGACCUGGUUGUCAUUCUGAUUAGCAUCAUGUACCAACACCCCAAACCUCUGCACGGUGACUCGUUGCAUGCAGGCCAGAUUAAACUCUCCAGAAACUGCACUCAUAUAGCAGACACUCUCACAAGAAUUGCCACCACGGAAUGAGGAUUGUCGCUUUUCUUAUAUGAAAGAAAUCUAGUUUCUGCCGAGAGUGAAGGGUAAGUUAAAACUGAUUUGAUUCAGUACACAAGGUGCUUAUUUAUUAUUAUGAAUAUUACAUUUUCAGCAUACUAAGUAUACUAAGAAAGUAUGUAGAAGUUCUUUCUCGUGUACUUACCGAGCACAAAUAGGAAAUUGGCUUGUUUAAGGUCAACUGCAGCUGGGUUUUUUUAUAUCUCAAUACAAAAUCAUUUCUGGGUAACAAUUAAGUACCUUACUGUGAUUCUUAGCAAGAGCAAUUUCUCAAGCAAGUGUUUUGAUAGGACUGUCUGGGAGUGAGUGAGGAGUAGAAAACUGAAAUCUAGCUGUUAUUGAAAUGGAUCACUAGCCACUUUAAUAAUGUUCCGUAUCUAACAUUACUCAUCUCAUAUGUAUAAACCGCACUCCACACUAUUCUACGGUAUCUUAGUCACUUUUAAAUUGUGUUGACAUAUUGCAUCUCCCAUUUCAUAUGUAUAUACUGUAUUGUAUUCUAGACUACACCACUGACUGUUAAACAGACAUCUCCAGCACAUCAGAGGCUGCUGCCUAUAGACAGAUUAGGAAUCACUGGCCACUUUAAGGGAAUGGACACACUAGCCACUUUAAUAAUAUAUCUGUAUCUUGCAUUACUGUAUGUGUAAACUGUACUCUAUACUAUUCUAAGGUAUUCUAGGUAUCUUAGUCAUUUGAGUUGUUUGUAAAUAUUGCAUCACCCAUCUCAUAUGAAUAUACUGUAUUCUAUACUCUGCCACUGUAUCUUAUUCCAAUGCUGCUCUGAUAUAUAUGUAUAUAUAUUCUUAAUUCAUUCCUUAUUUAGAUUUCCAUGUAUUUUGUGUAUAUGUUGUGAAACUGUUAGAUAUUACUGCACUGUCGGAGCUAGAAGCACAAGCAUUUUGCUACACCCACAAUAACAUCUGCUAAACACGUGUAUGUCAACAAAUACAAUUUGAUUUGAUUUAUUGGCAGAGAGGUUUGGAACUCUUUCUUAUUGGUCUAUUGUGUAAUUUACAACCUGUUGAUGUCACCAGGCAGGCCAUACUCCAUCCUACCAUAACAGGCAGAUGAUGUCACUCCUACGCAAUGCUCGUCCCUUAACCGAUCUGUCUUGUAGGAUAUGGAACUCCUCUCUAAAAAUAAAGAUUUUGCUCAUCCAUUUAACACUAGUUCCUUGUUUAUUUAACCUUAAUUUAACUAGGCAAGUGUGAUACAGCCCGGGAUCGGACCCGGGCCUGUAGUGACUCCUCUAGCACUGAUGCAGUGCCUUAGAAUUUUGGGAUCCAAUCAGGAUCCAGUUCAGAAAAUCACCAAAACAUUUACAAAUGUUCUGAAAAUCUGUGAAAAUCCCUCCGCUCUCGGAAGCUAUGAUAUACUGGCUACUUGGAAAACCAUGUUCGAUCAGCUGAGCAAAUUUGCUCCAGCUAGCAGGCUAGUGCAAGCUUGUUUGAAUGGCCAUACGGUAGCUAGUUUGCCAGCUUGUCGAAGUGGUACAGCACCAAAAUUAUGGGACUGUUCUCAGAAAUCAGCAUGUAUUGUAUCUGACUGACUGGUAUUUUGUCCCAUUCCUC
Oncorhynchus gorbuscha (pink salmon) is the source of this 3783-nucleotide long non-coding RNA. RefSeq lists it as uncharacterized. The record is from RefSeq and is a predicted model, not a curated record. Lineage: Eukaryota; Metazoa; Chordata; Actinopteri; Salmoniformes; Salmonidae. The transcript is spliced from 11 exons.